CGCGUAGGCGGCUAGGCAAGUCUGAGGUGAAAUCCCCGGCUCAACCGGGGAACUGCCUCAGAUACUGCCUGGCUUGAGUCCCGGAGAGGGUAGCGGAAUUCCCAGUGUAGCGGUGAAAUGCGUAGAUAUUGGGAGGAACACCAGUGGCGAAGGCGGCUACCUGGACGGGUACUGACGCUGAGGCGCGAAAGCGUGGGGAGCAAACA
RNAcentral lists this ribosomal RNA (206 nucleotides) under uncultured bacterium. RNAcentral's name for it is "partial 16S ribosomal RNA". It matches the Rfam family "Bacterial small subunit ribosomal RNA", at positions 568 to 774 of the family's 1533-position model. The record is from RNAcentral.